This 450-nucleotide ribosomal RNA is filed under the name uncultured bacterium. RNAcentral's name for it is "partial 16S ribosomal RNA". It matches the Rfam family "Bacterial small subunit ribosomal RNA", at positions 354 to 796 of the family's 1533-position model. The record is from RNAcentral.
GUGGGGAAUCUUCCGCAAUGGACGAAAGUCUGACGGAGCAACGCCGCGUGAGUGAUGAAGGUCUUCGGAUUGUAAAGCUCUGUUAAUCGGGACGAAAGAGCCUAGUGUGAAUAAUGCUAGGAAGUGACGGUACCGGAAUAGAAAGCCACGGCUAACUACGUGCCAGCAGCCGCGGUAAUACGUAGGUGGCAAGCGUUGUCCGGAAUUAUUGGGCGUAAAGCGCGCGCAGGCGGAUCUGCCAGUCUGUAUUAAAAGUUCGGGGCUUAACCCCGUGAUGGGAUGGAAACUACAGAUCUAGAGUAUCGGAGAGGAAAGUGGAAUUCCUAGUGUAGCGGUGAAAUGCGUAGAUAUUAGGAAGAACACCAGUGGCGAAGGCGACUUUCUGGACGAAAACUGACGCUGAGGCGCGAAAGCCAGGGGAGCGAACGGGAUUAGAUACCCCAGUAGUCC